GCUGCAAAAUCUUUCAUUUCCUCAUCCCCUCACAUAACUUCCAAUCUUCUUGGCCUGGCACUAAGGACCUACUACAGACUGGCACUGAAAUAUCUUCCCUACCUUAUCAUUCCUUGUGCUUCUCCACAAGCCCACUCUUCCCCUUCAUCAUACAUGUGCCGACCUUUCCUGUCUCUUUUACUUUGCAGCACCAAAUGCUUUCUACUUUGUGGUCUAGGAGGAACACAUGUCACUUUUGUAAGCUGCUCGAAAGCAGGGGCCACACCUUCAUCCUUGUUUUCCACACAACACCAAGCACUUAGUAGACACCCAAUAAAUCAUUGCUGAAUGAAUGUAUUCAGCCUGGAAUUGCACUAGGAUUUUUUGGCCAACACAUUGUAUUCUUAACUGAUACCAGACUUCCAAUCAAAUAAAAUCCUUAAGCCUUUUUCAUAGUCUUUAAUUAAACUACUUCUCUUCCAUUAUUUCCCUUUGCCUACUUUUGAACUGAUAUUCAGAACUUUUCUGUUAAUGUUUAAUUUUCAUCCAUUAUUCUUGUCUGUACAGAUCUUUUUGAUUUUUGACUCUCUUAUCUAGUUUUUUUUUUUUUUUUUUGGCUUCCCGUUGUGUUAUCCACAGGCACAAUGGGUAUAUUGACUAUCGUUCAUUGAAGUUGUUGAUACAAAUGUUGAACAGGAGAAAAACCAGUAGCUUGCCAACUUGGCACCUCAUUCUCUAGCUUGACAGUAAUCUCUUAUCUAGUAGUUUUUAGAUAUGGUUAUUUAAUCAAAUAUCACUAGCUUCUAAUUUUGUUAUAAUUCAUUCAUGUAUACAGACAAUGAAGAAUCAUCUUUCUUCAUUCAACACAUUUAUUGGGAACCAAUCAUUGUCCAAGGCAAUAUGCUAGGCAUUGUGUAAUAGAAAGCGAUUAAGCUUUUACCCCUGUCCUCUUUGGCCUGCAAAGAGCAGGUAAGAUUCAUGCACAGACAAAUGUAGUACCAGGUAAAUAGUGAGGCCAAACACAAGAGGCAGGUCAAAGGGCUUUGGAUUCAGAGGAUGGAGAAGCUCUUUCUAGGCUGGUGAAAUAUUUGCAGAAUGAGUAGGCUCAUAAGUGGAGGUGAGGUACAGGCUAAGCUGCUGUAAGAAAGAGUCCAAAAUGCAAAGGAUUUACCACAAUGCAGUUAAUUUUUCUCACAACGGUCGAGGUAGGCAGGUGGUCCAAGUCCAGUUAAUCAGCCCUCCUCAACACAAGGCUUCCCCUUGUAAGCUCAGGAUGACCGCUCCAGUUCUCAUCAUCUCCCAGGCAGAAAAACGGGAGAAAGAGAACUAGACGUACCACCCAGUCAUUUUAAGGACAUAGCCAGGCCAGGUGCAGUGACUCACAUCUGUAAUCCAAGCACUUUGGGAGGUCGAGGCUGGAGGAUAGCUUGAAGCCAGGAGUUUGAGACCAGCUUGGAUAAGAAAGCAAGACCUUGUCUCUACAAAAAAUUUAAAAAUUAACCAUGUGUGGUGGUGUGCACCUAUAGUCCCAGCUACUCAGGAGGCUGAGGUGGAAGGAUCACUUGAGCACAGGAGUUGGAGGAUACAGUGAGCCAUGAUCACACCACCUCACUCCAGCCUGGGCAACAUAGUGAGACCCCAUCUCUUUAAAAAACAAAACAAAAAAACAUCACCAGGAAGUUGCUUACAUGUCUUCUAUUCCUAUAACAUCGGCCUGAGCUUAGUCACAUGGCCACACCCAGCAGAAAGAACUCUAGGAAAUAUGGUCUUAUGCUAGGUAACCCCAAACCCAGCUAAAACUGUUGCUUUUGAAGAAGGGUGAAACAGACAAUGUGGAGGAGAAUUACCAGUCUGCCACAAAGAGAAAGAAUUCUAUGUGAGGAAAACGCUCUAGAAGAGGGAGCUGAUUAAUUAGUUAUAUCUCAGCCGAGAGGAUGUUAUGAGAAACACAGAUUUGGGUUUAAUAGAAAAACUUAGAACCCUUCAAGAAGGAAUGGGCGGACUUGAGAGUGUCCUCCGCUUCUGAAAAUGAUCAAGAAAAAUGGUAAGAAUGUACACCUCAAGGGUGGAUGGUAAAGGUCAGCCUUUAAGCCUCAAUGGCGGUGUGGUUGUAGGUGGGGUGGGGGUGGAGGCCCCGAAGACAGGCAGACUACCACAGUAGCCCCGAUGGAAGCAGUGAGAAUGAACUGGAAGGAGCGGCUGUGGGAGCGACAACGUGAUGAGAAUAAACCCGGCUUGGCUCUGCCCUGUGCACACACAGGUGAGCUGUGUGCUCCCGGAUGUGUCAGCUGGUAUAUGCGUCUGUCAGAAGGCAGCUGGGGAGCACUGUUAGCUCAGAGACUAAGAGGCAGACCCAGGAAGCCCUUCUUUGCAUUGGUCAGGGUUUGCUGCAUUUUCCCAAGCCCAGGAAAUGGAACCCAGUUCUUCUUCUUUCUGUGUAAAAUAAUAAGCAUCACAAUAGGCUGUGCUCAUGAGAACGCAUUUUGUUUCCACAGAAAUGUUUUUUCUCACUCUGUCCUGAUUUUGAUUUCUGUUAAACUCAGUAAACACAUUACCAAAUUUUAAAAUAAGGUGACUUGUUUUCCCCAACUCACAGUUCACCAAAGGUAUUUCAUCUGUUUGUUCUGAAAAUGCAGCUGCUGUCUAGAUUUAUGUGUGCUCUGACAAGAAAUGUUUUGUGUAACAAUAAAAAUCAUUUCCUUUGAUGA
RNAcentral lists this long non-coding RNA (2687 nucleotides) under Homo sapiens (human). RNAcentral's name for it is "HSALNT0348767". Lineage: Eukaryota; Metazoa; Chordata; Mammalia; Primates; Hominidae. The record is from RNAcentral.